This is a long non-coding RNA of Mus musculus (house mouse), 2219 nucleotides long. RefSeq annotates it as RIKEN cDNA 6330415B21 gene. Lineage: Eukaryota; Metazoa; Chordata; Mammalia; Rodentia; Muridae. The record is from RefSeq and is marked validated. The transcript has a single exon.
CAAGCUUAAACUUACACAACUUUCAAUUUGAGAGCCCAGGGAUUCUUGAACAGGGCAUGAGAAUUAUGUAAUGCUAAACCCAGGAUAAUUUGAUUCUCUGUGUUAUUUAUUUGUUUAUUUCUAGUUUGAAUGUCUUCUUAACAAAUGCAACCCUAAUAAUUUUUUCCAAAAAUCUUUUAGAAUUUACCAGUGGACCUAAUCAGUGCAUCUAUAACCAGCAGUCUGAAUAGCUGUUUAUAUGACAUUAGCAUUUUCUACUUUCUCACUCAGCCCUCCUUGCUAGACUUUACAACAAGAUCUGUGGCUGCAUUCAGUAGCCAGUCCCCUGGUACCUACUGACUGGCUGCUUCUGCUAUGCCUGGAGCCAGGAAAGGUGUCACUUCAGUCUUCCUUCCUCUGCAUUUCUACAUGGAGAUUCUGAUGCCUAAGGCAAAAGGUGCUGGGCCUGUCUGCCACAAUCUUCAAAUGUUCACUGAAAUGUUCCCAGAUAUCUCCAGAUAUCAGCCUAUGUGGUUGGCUAUCCUUCCUCAGUAUUUGUUGUUCUGUCUAGGUGCUGUCUUCAUGGCUAAGAUAAAAAAAAAAAUUAAAAACAAAAGAAAACCAAGAAAAUCCCGUUACUGUUUUCUUUUCCAUUUUUUCAUAUCUGUCUGUGAAUACCAACUCUUUUUCCUGUACAUCUAUGCAAGGCCAACUGGAAGUGAGAUGAUUAGCAAACUACGGCAAUGGCCCUGAAAGGGAAGCAGAGCUUGUGACAGUUGGAAAGGAAGGAACUCUAUGGUCCUUCCUGUGAAGGAUGUUGCACUGUUUCUCCUCUGCAUCAGCUUUUCCUUCAGUUUCCUUUUCUCCUUACUGCUUCCUUUCUCCCAACUCCCAUUCCUAUAAAAGAACUAAUUAGCAUACCACAUGCCCCAGUAAUGAAGCAUCACACCAAAUGUAACAGUAGAAAGAUAGAGAAGGCUAUGGCUAAUUUUGUAAAAAUCAGCACCAGCUUCUGCUUCAGAAGGGAAGGUUUUAUGUGGGGAACAGGCUGAGUUGUGGGUAGCAUGCAUGGCAGAAGUGCACAAUUGUAUAACUUCAAUGAAAUCCAUAGUGCUUUCUGAAAUAAAAGAGUGCAUGCAAUAUGAUAAUAAGAGCACAAAUUACCACUGCCCAGCUUGGCAACCUUCAACUGUCUCUGGGCCUCACUUUGCUUUUCUGAAAUACCGAAAAGAUACUAUUGUCUCUCCCAUCGGAUUGUUGCAAAAUUUUCAUGAUGAACGUUUUGAAUGUUCCCGGCCACAGCAUUGCUGCCAGGUAACAAUUAACAAUGAUCCCGAGAUUUUUUUGUUACUAUUUCCCUCCUGCCACUUACAUGUAGUUCUGCAGUAUUUGUGUGUGUGUGUGUGUGUGUGUGUGUGUGUGUGUGUGUGUGUGUGUGUGAGAGAGAGAGAGAGAGAGAGAGAGAGAGAGAGAGAGAGAUGGCUUUUUCCUGAAGAACAUAAGAACAUGCUUGACUUUUUGGCUGUUACAAGUUUACUGGUAUGUUGGAAGGAUAUAAAAUGCUGUCACAGGAUACGUCUGCUAUUGGAAAGGUGAAUCUCCCAUUGUCUUAAGUGCAAGACAAGCUCAGGCUAUGCCUAGAAGAGUGAGGUAGUCUUGAAGAGCAGCUGCUGAAAGGAAGAUAGCUGUGGCUUUCUCUGAGCCUAGAGUCAUGCUACAAGAAGAGGCUGAGCUAUGAGUGUGAUUAGGAAGGGAAGGGUGUCUAACAUAAAACUAUGUUCUGGGGGAGAGAAAGUCAUGCUCUAUGAAGCAUUUACGGCCACAUAUUUAUGUCAGGCUUCUAUGGUAUUUUCUGCUUGUUAAGAUCAGAUUAUGUUGAGAAAUUAAUUAACAUCCCAUUUCUGUAGCAUAAUCUUCUUUGUCUUAGAGGGAACCCCAGGUAGACUAUCAUCAAUCUAUAUCUCUUGGCUCUCUAGGUACAUGGGUGCUCUGCCCUUAAUAUUAGUCACUCUCAAACUUGGAUUUCCAGGAUCCCUUGGCCCUCGCGAGCCUUUAGGAUGUGGGUUUUAUCGAUAGAUUUGACCAGGUUAAGUAUUAGAACUUAGAUUUAAAAAAAAAAAUUAAAAAGAUAUCAAUUCCAGCAUGAAUGGUAGUCCACACUUUUAAUUUGAGCUAGCACAUAGAGAAAAGUAAGAAAGGAAAAUCAGUUAUUAGUUCCAGGUCAGCUUGGGCUACUUAGG